CCCGCUGAACUUAAGCAUAUCAAUAAGCGGAGGAAAAGAAACUAACAAGGAUUCCCCUAGUAACUGCGAGUGAAGCGGGAAAAGCUCAAAUUUAAAAUCUGGCGGUCUUUGACCGUCCGAGUUGUAAUUUAGAGAAGCGUCUUCCGCGCCGGUCCGUGCACAAGUCUCCUGGAAUGGAGCGUCAUAGAGGGUGAGAAUCCCGUCUUUGGCACGGAUGCCCGGUGCUUCUGUGAUGCGCUCUCGAAGAGUCGAGUUGUUUGGGAAUGCAGCUCAAAAUGGGUGGUGAACUCCAUCUAAAGCUAAAUAUUGGCGAGAGACCGAUAGCGAACAAGUACCGUGAGGGAAAGAUGAAAAGCACUUUGGAAAGAGAGUGAAACAGUACGUGAAAUUGUUGAAAGGGAAACGCUUGAAGUCAGUCGCGUCUACCGAGACUCAGCCUUGCCUUGGCUUGGUGUACUUCUCGGCCCGACGGGUCAGCAUCAAUUUUGCUCCUCGGAUAAUGGCAAGGGAAAGGUGGCACCUUUACGGGUGUGUUAUAGUCUCCUGUCGCAUGCGAGGGGGGGGAUUGAGGAACUCAGCGCGCACAUCGGUGUCGGGGCUUUUCUGCCCACGUCACGCGCUUAGGAUGCUGGCGUAAUGGCUUUAAACGACCCGUCUUGAAACACGG
Molecule: ribosomal RNA, 667 nt
Filed under: uncultured fungus
Lineage: Eukaryota; Fungi
Description: eukaryotic LSU rRNA
Rfam family: Eukaryotic large subunit ribosomal RNA
Source: RNAcentral